UGUUACUCACCCUCGUAGUUGUGGACGUAACUUGAUAUGUCCCACUUCAAAGCUUUCUCCCGUUUCCUGAUGGGUGCAGGUGAAAGUGCGUCGACCAUUCUGUGCACAUUGUUGACAUAUAGUAAUAAUAAAGCGAUGGACGGCGUCAGCGCGGGUAAAUAAACUCGGUUACAGAGCAGCCGCCCGCAACAGACGUUCUAACGUAAAGCAAACGCACCCUCAACAGGGCAGGGAUCAUUUCAUUGGUGAACACUACAGCUGACAUUCUAUUAGUUGGGGAAUUUUGAUAGGAUUAUAACCAUAGACUGUUAAUACAGUGUAUGAUUGUAACACAAAAAAAAUCCGCAGGAGAAAUCUGAGAGAAGAUUUGCAAGCGUGCAAAAGCAGCCAAAGUGCGAGAAGGGCCGAAGCUGAGAGCAGGAAAUCUGUACAAGUGUAGCAGAGUUAAUAAUUCCACUUGCCAUUAAAAGGUACAGAAAGCAUGAAGCAGACGAGGGAAUCCAAGGGAAGUCCAACAGACAUUAAAACAGGCAGCCUUGAUGCCCAGAACAGCAAAGCUGAUACAGACACACAGUUGAAGAACAGCCAGGACGAUCAUAGUAAUGUCCAUGGUUGUCAACAAGCGCUGACAUAGACAAGAAAUAAAGAAAGAGUAGGAACGAAUGAGCUUGGGGAUGAUGAGAGCCACAGACAGGGAAGAGAAGUUGGAAGGUCACACAUCCUGAUGGCAGGGGCAUCUGCCAGGUCUUUGGCAUUCAGCGCGAUGGCAACAAUAGCAAAGACAGAUCCGACUAUGUUCACAA
Long non-coding RNA from Sander lucioperca (pikeperch), 803 nucleotides. RefSeq lists it as uncharacterized. The record is from RefSeq and is a predicted model, not a curated record. The transcript is spliced from 5 exons. NCBI's taxonomy places the organism in Eukaryota, Metazoa, Chordata, Actinopteri, Perciformes, Percidae.